Molecule: ribosomal RNA, 444 nt
Filed under: Penicillium sp. FL-2010l
Lineage: Eukaryota; Fungi; Ascomycota; Eurotiomycetes; Eurotiales; Aspergillaceae
Description: eukaryotic LSU rRNA
Rfam family: 5.8S ribosomal RNA (bases 69-222)
Source: RNAcentral
CGCCCGCCGACGGCCCCCCUGAACGCUGUCUGAAGUUGCAGUCUGAGACCUAUAACGAAAUUAGUUAAAACUUUCAACAACGGAUCUCUUGGUUCCGGCAUCGAUGAAGAACGCAGCGAAAUGCGAUAACUAAUGUGAAUUGCAGAAUUCAGUGAAUCAUCGAGUCUUUGAACGCACAUUGCGCCCUCUGGUAUUCCGGAGGGCAUGCCUGUCCGAGCGUCAUUGCUGCCCUCAAGCCCGGCUUGUGUGUUGGGCCCCGUCCCCCCCGCCGGGGGGACGGGCCCGAAAGGCAGCGGCGGCACCGCGUCCGGUCCUCGAGCGUAUGGGGCUUCGUCACCCGCUCUAGUAGGCCCGGCCGGCGCCAGCCGACCCCCAACCUUUAAUUAUCUCAGGUUGACCUCGGAUCAGGUAGGGAUACCCGCUGAACUUAAGCAUAUCAAUAAG